GAGACUCCAGGUGAUACACGGGUCCCGAGCCAAGAGCUGUUUCACAUCAACUCCUGACUUACCUGGGUCAGCCUGGAUUUCCCCCGAGGUCCACGUCCUGCGUGAUCUGUGAAGUGUCAACACCAAUCAAGGCCAGACGGUCCAGGUCGUCGGCUCCUCAGUCGGAGAUGAGACAGAGGAAUCAUCGAUCCACCUGCAUCCUGUUCUGUCGCUCUGCAUCCAGAUGGAAGGCAACUCAGCCACUCCUGUUUUCCAUGAAAAAGAACUGUCUGCUGCGCCACGAUCGAUCCACCCCCUUACUCCACUGCAGAGACAUCACAACAAAUAGUUCUGCACACGAUGUGAUGUGAAAUGAUUGAAGCUGCGGGGUCUGUUCUUCAGCUGCUGCUCGAUUAAUUUUUUUAAAUGGCCUCUAAAGAUGAGAAUGAAGAAGUAAACAAAAAGAAAUAAUGGAUUUGGGUUUGGUUGGGAGAGAUUCAGUUUUUAAAAGACAAAUGACUCUGUGAGAUGUCUCCUCCUCGUUCCUCACAGGCUGGAGCCCAUCUGCUGCCCCGAGGGGCCAAACACAACAGGAGGAUUUCAAUUUAAAAAAA
Molecule: non-coding RNA, 593 nt
Organism: Paralichthys olivaceus (Japanese flounder)
Lineage: Eukaryota; Metazoa; Chordata; Actinopteri; Pleuronectiformes; Paralichthyidae
Source: RefSeq, a predicted model, not a curated record